This 400-nucleotide ribosomal RNA is filed under the name uncultured bacterium. Its description in RNAcentral is "partial 16S ribosomal RNA". It matches the Rfam family "Bacterial small subunit ribosomal RNA", at positions 360 to 776 of the family's 1533-position model. The record is from RNAcentral.
AAUAUUGCACAAUGGGCGCAAGCCUGAUGCAGCAACGCCGCUUGCGCGACGAAGGCCUUCGGGUCGUAAAGCGCUUUUCGGGGAGAUGAGUACGGACAGUAUCCCCGGAAUAAGGAUCGGCUAACCACGUGCCAGCACCCGCGGUAAACUGUAGGAUGCGAGCGUUAUCCGAAUUCACUGGGCGUAAAGCGCAUGCAGGCGGCCGCACAAGUUGGAUGUGAAAUCACCCGGCUCAACUGGGAGGGGACGUUCAAAACUGUGCGGCUCGAGGGCGGUAGAGGAAGGUAGAAUUCCCGGUGUAGUGGUGAAAUGCGUAGAUAUCGGGAGGAAUACCCGUGGCGAAGGCGACCUUCUGGACCGUUUCUGACGCUCAGAUGCGAAAGCUAGGGGAGCGAACGGG